GAGUUUGAUCAUGGCUCAGAUUGAACGCUGGCGGCAUGCCUUACACAUGCAAGUCGAACGGCAGCACGGGAGCUUGCUCCUGGUGGCGAGUGGCGAACGGGUGAGUAAUGCAUCGGAACGUAUCCUGGAGUGGGGGAUAACGUAGCGAAAGUUACGCUAAUACCGCAUAUUCUGUGAGCAGGAAAGCGGAGGACCUUCGGGCCUCGCGCUCUUGGAGCGGCCGAUGUCGGAUUAGCUAGUUGGUGAGGUAAAGGCUCACCAAGGCGACGAUCCGUAGCAGGUCUGAGAGGAUGAUCUGCCACACUGGAACUGAGACACGGUCCAGACUCCUACGGGAGGCAGCAGUGGGGAAUUUUGGACAAUGGGGGCAACCCUGAUCCAGCCAUGCCGCGUGAGUGAAGAAGGCCUCGGUUGGUAAGUACGUCUUCGUCG
RNAcentral lists this ribosomal RNA (432 nucleotides) under bacterium enrichment culture clone ALO1_GLFRUDD03FT7N6. RNAcentral's name for it is "bacterial SSU rRNA". It matches the Rfam family "Bacterial small subunit ribosomal RNA", at positions 9 to 443 of the family's 1533-position model. The record is from RNAcentral.